GACGAACGCUGGCGGCGUGCCUAAUACAUGCAAGUAGAACGCUGAAGAGAGGAGCUUGCUCUUCUUGGAUGAGUUGCGAACGGGUGAGUAACGCGUAGGUAACCUGCCUUGUAGCGGGGGAUAACUAUUGGAAACGAUAGCUAAUACCGCAUAACAAUGGAUGACACAUGUCAUUUAUUUGAAAGGGGCAAUUGCUCCACUACAAGAUGGACCUGCGUUGUAUUAGCUAGUAGGUGAGGUAACGGCUCACCUAGGCGACGAUACAUAGCCGACCUGAGAGGGUGAUCGGCCACACUGGGACUGAGACACGGCCCAGACUCCUACGGGAGGCAGCAGUAGGGAAUCUUCGGCAAUAGGGGCAACCCUGACCGAGCAACGCCGCGUGAGUGAAGAAGGUUUUCGGAUCGUAAAGCUCUGUUGUAAGUCAAGAACGAGUGUGAGAGUGGAAAGUUUACACUGUGACGGUAGCUUACCAGAAAGGGACGGCUAACUACGUG
RNAcentral lists this ribosomal RNA (497 nucleotides) under uncultured bacterium. RNAcentral's name for it is "partial 16S ribosomal RNA". It matches the Rfam family "Bacterial small subunit ribosomal RNA", at positions 28 to 507 of the family's 1533-position model. The record is from RNAcentral.